AGCUGUCGAGCCUUGGCGAGGCUGCGUCGGCGGUGUGUCUGAUACACCGCUUACGCAGCCUUGCCAAGGCUCGACAGCU
RNAcentral lists this unclassified non-coding RNA (79 nucleotides) under Pseudomonas costantinii. The record is from RNAcentral. Lineage: Bacteria; Pseudomonadati; Pseudomonadota; Gammaproteobacteria; Pseudomonadales; Pseudomonadaceae.